CCUACGGGGGGCAGCAGUGAGGAAUAUUGGUCAAUGGGCGAGAGCCUGAACCAGCCAAGUAGCGUGCAGGAUGACGGCCCUAUGGGUUGUAAACUGCUUUUAUAAGGGAAUAAAGUGAGCCUCGUGAGGCUUUUUGCAUGUACCUUAUGAAUAAGGACCGGCUAAUUCCGUGCCAGCAGCCGCGGUAAUACGGAGGAUCCGAGCGUUAUCCGGAUUUAUUGGGUUUAAAGGGAGCGUAGGCGGACGCUUAAGUCAGUUGUGAAAGUUUGCGGCUCAACCGUAAAAUUGCAGUUGAUACUGGGUGUCUUGAGUACAGUAGAGGCAGGCGGAAUUCGUGGUGUAGCGGUGAAAUGCUUAGAUAUCACGAAGAACUCCGAUUGCGAAGGCAGCUCACUGGAGCGCAACUGACGCUGAAGCUCGAAAG
This 424-nucleotide ribosomal RNA is filed under the name uncultured Bacteroides sp. Its description in RNAcentral is "bacterial SSU rRNA". It matches the Rfam family "Bacterial small subunit ribosomal RNA", at positions 338 to 759 of the family's 1533-position model. The record is from RNAcentral. Lineage: Bacteria; Pseudomonadati; Bacteroidota; Bacteroidia; Bacteroidales; Bacteroidaceae.